AUUGAACGCUGGCGGCAUGCCUUACACAUGCAAGUCGAACGGCAGCACGGGGGCAACCCUGGUGGCGAGUGGCGAACGGGUGAGUAAUGCAUCGGAACGUGUCCUCUUGUGGGGGAUAACCAGUCGAAAGAUUGGCUAAUACCGCAUGAGAUCGAGAGAUGAAAGCGGGGGACCCGAGGGUAACUUCGGGCCUCGCGCGAGAGGAGCGGCCGAUGCCGGAUUAGCUAGUUGGUGGGGUAAGAGCCUACCAAGGCGACGAUCCGUAGCUGGUCUGAGAGGACGACCAGCCACACUGGGACUGAGACACGGCCCAGACUCCUACGGGAGGCAGCAGUGGGGAAUUUUGGACAAUGGGCGCAAGCCUGAUCCAGCCAUGCCGCGUGUGUGAAGAAGG
This 394-nucleotide ribosomal RNA is filed under the name uncultured bacterium. RNAcentral's name for it is "bacterial SSU rRNA". It matches the Rfam family "Bacterial small subunit ribosomal RNA", at positions 29 to 414 of the family's 1533-position model. The record is from RNAcentral.